RNAcentral lists this ribosomal RNA (498 nucleotides) under uncultured bacterium. RNAcentral's name for it is "partial 16S ribosomal RNA". It matches the Rfam family "Bacterial small subunit ribosomal RNA", at positions 27 to 507 of the family's 1533-position model. The record is from RNAcentral.
GGAUGAACGCUGGCGGCGUGCCUAAUACAUGCAAGUCGAGCGAACAGACGAGGAGCUUGCUCCUCUGACGUUAGCGGCGGACGGGUGAGUAACACGUGGAUAACCUACCUAUAAGACUGGGAUAACUUCGGGAAACCGGAGCUAAUACCGGAUAAUAUAUUGAACCGCAUGGUUCAAUAGCGAAAGACGGUUUUGCUGUCACUUAUAGAUGGAUCCGCGCCGCAUUAGCUAGUUGGUAAGGUAACGGCUUACCAAGGCAACGAUGCGUAGCCGACCUGAGAGGGUGAUCGGCCACACUGGAACUGAGACACGGUCCAGACUCCUACGGGAGGCAGCAGUAGGGAAUCUUCCGCAAUGGGCGAAAGCCUGACGGAGCAACGCCGCGUGAGUGAUGAAGGUCUUCGGAUCGUAAAACUCUGUUAUUAGGGAAGAACAAAUGUGUAAGUAACUAUGCACGUCUUGACGGUACCUAAUCAGAAAGCCACGGCUAACUACGUG